RNAcentral lists this ribosomal RNA (600 nucleotides) under Listeria monocytogenes. Its description in RNAcentral is "bacterial SSU rRNA". It matches the Rfam family "Bacterial small subunit ribosomal RNA", at positions 1 to 582 of the family's 1533-position model. The record is from RNAcentral. Lineage: Bacteria; Bacillati; Bacillota; Bacilli; Caryophanales; Listeriaceae.
UUUAAAGAGAGUUUGAUCCUGGCUCAGGACGAACGCUGGCGGCGUGCCUAAUACAUGCAAGUCGAACGAACGGAGGAAGAGCUUGCUCUUCCAAAGUUAGUGGCGGACGGGUGAGUAACACGUGGGCAACCUGCCUGUAAGUUGGGGAUAACUCCGGGAAACCGGGGCUAAUACCGAAUGAUAAAGUGUGGCGCAUGCCACGCUUUUGAAAGAUGGUUUCGGCUAUCGCUUACAGAUGGGCCCGCGGUGCAUUAGCUAGUUGGUAGGGUAAUGGCCUACCAAGGCAACGAUGCAUAGCCGACCUGAGAGGGUGAUCGGCCACACUGGGACUGAGACACGGCCCAGACUCCUACGGGAGGCAGCAGUAGGGAAUCUUCCGCAAUGGACGAAAGUCUGACGGAGCAACGCCGCGUGUAUGAAGAAGGUUUUCGGAUCGUAAAGUACUGUUGUUAGAGAAGAACAAGGAUAAGAGUAACUGCUUGUCCCUUGACGGUAUCUAACCAGAAAGCCACGGCUAACUACGUGCCAGCAGCCGCGGUAAUACGUAGGUGGCAAGCGUUGUCCGGAUUUAUUGGGCGUAAAGCGCGCGCAGGCGGUCUU